AGUAAAAGUCGUAACAAGGUCUCCGUAGGUGAACCUGCGGAGGGAUCAUUACAAGUGACCCCGGUCUAACCACCGGGAUGUUCAUAACCCUUUGUUGUCCGACUCUGUUGCCUCCGGGGCGACCCUGCCUUCGGGCGGGGGCUCCGGGUGGACACUUCAAACUCUUGCGUAACUUUGCAGUCUGAGUAAACUUAAUUAAUAAAUUAAAACUUUUAACAACGGAUCUCUUGGUUCUGGCAUCGAUGAAGAACGCAGCGAAAUGCGAUAAGUAAUGUGAAUUGCAGAAUUCAGUGAAUCAUCGAAUCUUUGAACGCACAUUGCGCCCCCUGGUAUUCCGGGGGGCAUGCCUGUUCGAGCGUCAUUUCACCACUCAAGCCUCGCUUGGUAUUGGGCAACGCGGUCCGCCGCGUGCCUCAAAUCGACCGGCUGGGUCUUCUGUCCCCUAAGCGUUGUGGAAACUAUUCGCUAAAGGGUGUUCGGGAGGCUACGCCGUAAAACAACCCCAUUUCUAAGGUUGACCUCGGAUCAGGUAGGGAUACCCGCUGAACUUAAGCAUAUCAAUAAGCGGAGGAAAAGAAACCAACAGGGAUUGCCCCAGUAACCG
This 604-nucleotide ribosomal RNA is filed under the name uncultured fungus. Its description in RNAcentral is "eukaryotic LSU rRNA". The stretch from base 208 to 361 matches the Rfam family "5.8S ribosomal RNA". Lineage: Eukaryota; Fungi. The record is from RNAcentral.